Molecule: ribosomal RNA, 1373 nt
Filed under: uncultured bacterium
Lineage: Bacteria
Description: bacterial SSU rRNA
Rfam family: Bacterial small subunit ribosomal RNA
Source: RNAcentral
GAUGAACGCUGGCGGCGUGCCUAAUACAUGCAAGUCGAGCGAACGGACGAGAAGCUUGCUUUUCUGAUGUUAGCGGCGGACGGGUGAGUAACACGUGGAUAACCUACCUAUAAGACUGGGAUAACUUCGGGAAACCGGAGCUAAUACCGGAUAAUAUUUUGAACCGCAUGGUUCAAAAGUGAAAGACGGUCUUGCUGUCACUUAUAGAUGGAUCCGCGCUGCAUUAGCUAGUUGGUAAGGUAACGGCUUACCAAGGCAACGAUGCAUAGCCGACCUGAGAGGGUGAUCGGCCACACUGGAACUGAGACACGGUCCAGACUCCUACGGGAGGCAGCAGUAGGGAAUCUUCCGCAAUGGGCGAAAGCCUGACGGAGCAACGCCGCGUGAGUGAUGAAGGUCUUCGGAUCGUAAAACUCUGUUAUUAGGGAAGAACAUAUGUGUAAGUAACUGUGCACAUCUUGACGGUACCUAAUCAGAAAGCCACGGCUAACUACGUGCCAGCAGCCGCGGUAAUACGUAGGUGGCAAGCGUUAUCCGGAAUUAUUGGGCGUAAAGCGCGCGUAGGCGGUUUUUUAGUCUGAUGUGAAAGCCCACGGCGUCAACCGUGGAGGGUCAUUGGAAACUGGAAAACUUGAGUGCAGAAGAGGAAAGUGGAAUUCCAUGUGUAGCGGUGAAAUGCGCAGAGAUAUGGAGGAACACCAGUGGCGAAGGCGACUUUCUGGUCUGUAACUGACGCUGAUGUGCGAAAGCGUGGGGAUCAAACAGGAUUAGAUACCCUGGUAGUCCACGCCGUAAACGAUGAGUGCUAAGUGUUAGGGGGUUUCCGCCCCUUAGUGCUGCAGCUAACGCAUUAAGCACUCCGCCUGGGGAGUACGACCGCAAGGUUGAAACUCAAAGGAAUUGACGGGGACCCGCACAAGCGGUGGAGCAUGUGGUUUAAUUCGAAGCAACGCGGAAGAACCUUACCAAAUCUUGACAUCCUUUGACAACUCUAGAGAUAGAGCCUUCCCCUUCGGGGGACAAAGUGACAGGUGGUGCAUGGUUGUCGUCAGCUCGUGUCGUGAGAUGUUGGGUUAAGUCCCGCAACGAGCGCAACCCUUAAGCUUAGUUGCCAUCAUUAAGUUGGGCACUCUAAGUUGACUGCCGGUGACAAACCGGAGGAAGGUGGGGAUGACGUCAAAUCAUCAUGCCCCUUAUGAUUUGGGCUACACACGUGCUACAAUGGACAAUACAAAGGGCAGCGAAACCGCGAGGUCAAGCAAAUCCCAUAAAGUUGUUCUCAGUUCGGAUUGUAGUCUGCAACUCGACUACAUGAAGCUGGAAUCGCUAGUAAUCGUAGAUCAGCAUGCUACGGUGAAUACGUUCCCGGGUCU